CCUACGGGAGGCAGCAGUGGGGAAUAUUGGACAAUGGGGGGAAGCCUGAUCCAGCGAAGUAGCGUGCGUGAAGAAGUAUCUCGGUAUGUUAAGCUCUAUCAGCAGGGAAGAAACUGACGUUACCUGACUAAGAAGCCACGUCUAACUACGUGCCAGCAGCCGCGGUAAUACGUAGGGUGCAAGCGUUAUCCGGAUUUACUGGGUGUAAAGGGAGCGUAGACGGUGCAGCAAGUCUGAUGUGAAAGGUCGGGGCACAACCCGGGGAUUGCAGUGGAAACUGGUGAACUGGAGUACAGGCGAGGUAAGCGGAAUUCCUAGUGUAGCGGUGAAAUGCUUAGAUAUGAGGAGGAACACCAGUGGCGAAGGCGGCUUACUGGACUGUAACUGACGUUGAGGCUCGAAAGCGUGGGGAGCAAACAGGAUUAGAUACCCGAGUAGUC
This 440-nucleotide ribosomal RNA is filed under the name uncultured bacterium. Its description in RNAcentral is "partial 16S ribosomal RNA". It matches the Rfam family "Bacterial small subunit ribosomal RNA", at positions 338 to 795 of the family's 1533-position model. The record is from RNAcentral.